CCUACGGGUGGCUGCAGUGGGGAAUAUUGGACAAUGGGCGAAAGCCUGAUCCAGCCAUGCCGCGUGUGUGAAGAAGGCCUUCGGGUUGUAAAGCACUUUCAGUGGGGAAGAAAGCCUUGGGGCUAAUACCCUCGAGGAAGGACAUCACCCACAGAAGAAGCACCGGCUAACUCCGUGCCAGCAGCCGCGGUAAUACGGAGGGUGCGAGCGUUAAUCGGAAUUACUGGGCGUAAAGCGCGCGUAGGCGGUCUGAUAAGCCGGUUGUGAAAGCCCCGGGCUCAACCUGGGAACGGCAUCCGGAACUGUCAGGCUAGAGUGCAGGAGAGGAAGGUAGAAUUCCCGGUGUAGCGGUGAAAUGCGUAGAGAUCGGGAGGAAUACCAGUGGCGAAGGCGGCCUUCUGGACUGACACUGACGCUGAGGUGCGAAAGCGUGGGUAGCAAACAGGAUUAGAUACCCCUGUAGU
RNAcentral lists this ribosomal RNA (464 nucleotides) under Vreelandella stevensii. RNAcentral's name for it is "partial 16S ribosomal RNA". It matches the Rfam family "Bacterial small subunit ribosomal RNA", at positions 338 to 794 of the family's 1533-position model. The record is from RNAcentral. Lineage: Bacteria; Pseudomonadati; Pseudomonadota; Gammaproteobacteria; Oceanospirillales; Halomonadaceae.